CACGUAGGGUGCAAGCGUUGUCCGGAAUUAUUGGGCGUAAAGAGCUCGUAGGCGGUCUGUCGCGUCGGCUGUGAAAUCCCGAGGCUCAACCUCGGGUCUGCAGUCGAUACGGGCAAACUAGAGUAUUGCAGGGGAGACUGGAAUUCCCGGUGUAGCGGUGAAAUGCGCAGAUAUCGGGAAGAACACCCGUGGCGAAGGCGGCUCUCUGGGACGGUACUGACGCUGAGACGCGAAAGCGUGGGGAGCGAACAGG
RNAcentral lists this ribosomal RNA (253 nucleotides) under uncultured bacterium. RNAcentral's name for it is "partial 16S ribosomal RNA". It matches the Rfam family "Bacterial small subunit ribosomal RNA", at positions 524 to 776 of the family's 1533-position model. The record is from RNAcentral.